CAAAGGUCAUUUUUAACCAACCAAUCGCGAGCUACGAUUGCUCGUCCACGUGACAUCGACGCGAUCUUAUUACAUAUAUUUGUCUUUUCUUGAUACUAAUCGACCCCAGUUUCUCUAUUCUUUAUUUUAAGUCAUUCAAUUUUUCAACAAGACGUUACAAUCUCAUUUCGGACGAAAGUGAACAUAUAUAUAUAUAUAUAGGUAGAGAGAGAGAGAAAGAGAGAAAGAGAAAGAGAAAGAGAAAGAGAAAAAAGAAGAAGAAAUUAAAUCAUCUUCGAUACAUUCUUGGAAAUAGGUUAAGUUAAGUUUGUAUUGAACGUUUACAUUAUAUUCCCACAAGAUACAAGUCACGUGAUGUCUCGAAAGUUUUCCGCUUGGAUGUUCUGUCGAAAGGAACUACGAGAUCGUUAAGAAAGAUUCGUCUUUAGGAAAGUUGUCUUGGUUCGACUUUUAAAGGAGACUUCAAUUCCACGAACUAUUUCGAUAAACAGAGAAAAAAGAGAGAGAAAAAGAGAGAGAGAGAGAGAGAGAGAGAGAGAGAGAGAG
Long non-coding RNA from Vespa velutina, 546 nucleotides. RefSeq lists it as uncharacterized. NCBI's taxonomy places the organism in Eukaryota, Metazoa, Arthropoda, Insecta, Hymenoptera, Vespidae. The record is from RefSeq and is a predicted model, not a curated record. The transcript is spliced from 4 exons.